RNAcentral lists this transfer RNA (88 nucleotides) under Janthinobacterium lividum. Its description in RNAcentral is "tRNA-Ser". It matches the Rfam family "tRNA". Rfam says of the family: Transfer RNA (tRNA) molecules are approximately 80 nucleotides in length. Their secondary structure includes four short double-helical elements and three loops (D, anti-codon, and T loops). RNAcentral also lists the same sequence under 10 other names. The record is from RNAcentral. Lineage: Bacteria; Pseudomonadati; Pseudomonadota; Betaproteobacteria; Burkholderiales; Oxalobacteraceae.
AGAGAGGUGUCCGAGUGGUCGAAGGAGCACGCCUGGAAAGUGUGUAUAGCCCAAAAGGUUAUCGUGGGUUCGAAUCCCAUCCUCUCUG